UGAAAAAAAAAAUAUAUAUAUAUUUAGUUCUUCUAAAGAUUAAACAGUUUAAUAGACCCAAGCUCAGCUUCAGCUAAAACACAUCAGCUUAAAGGAUUGCAGUAUUCAAUUUCUUUCUUAUCUUAUAGUAGCAGAGUCAAACUCAGUUCAGGCACUAAAUUGCUUACAGAUUUCGACUCUUAUAAGUUUGCAUGCCUUCCUAUAUGUUCAUUCAGAUGAGAAUAAGAAAAAAAAAAAAUCAUCGGAACUUCUAUAAAGAGCUUACCAGAGGCCCACUGGCUACAAAU
This 287-nucleotide unclassified non-coding RNA is filed under the name Hevea brasiliensis (rubber tree). The record is from RNAcentral. Lineage: Eukaryota; Viridiplantae; Streptophyta; Magnoliopsida; Malpighiales; Euphorbiaceae.